RNAcentral lists this ribosomal RNA (466 nucleotides) under uncultured bacterium. Its description in RNAcentral is "bacterial SSU rRNA". It matches the Rfam family "Bacterial small subunit ribosomal RNA", at positions 329 to 792 of the family's 1533-position model. The record is from RNAcentral.
AACCAGACUCCUACGGGAGGCAGCAGUGAGGAAUAUUGGUCAAUGGGCGCGAGCCUGAACCAGCCAAGUCGCGUGAGGGAAGACGGUCCUAUGGAUUGUAAACCUCUUUUGUCGGGGAGCAAAAGACGCCACGCGUGGCGUUCCGAGAGUACCCGAAGAAAAAGCAUCGGCUAACUCCGUGCCAGCAGCCGCGGUAAUACGUAGGGGGCAAGCGUUAUCCGGAUUUACUGGGUGUAAAGGGAGCGUAGACGGCACUGCAAGUCCGGAGUGAAAGCCCAAGGCUUAACCAUGGGACUGCUCUGGAAACUGUGGAGCUUGAGUGCGGGAGGGGCAGGCGGAAUUCCUAGUGUAGCGGUGAAAUGCGUAGAUAUUAGGAGGAACACCGGCGGCGAAGGCGGCCUGCUGGACCGUAACUGACGUUGAGGCUCGAAAGCGUGGGGAGCAAACAGGAUUAGAUACCCGUGUA